RNAcentral lists this ribosomal RNA (530 nucleotides) under uncultured bacterium. RNAcentral describes it as "partial 16S ribosomal RNA". It matches the Rfam family "Bacterial small subunit ribosomal RNA", at positions 28 to 523 of the family's 1533-position model. The record is from RNAcentral.
GACGAACGCUGGCGGCGUGCCUAAUACAUGCAAGUCGAACGAACUCUGGUAAUGAUUGGUGCUUGCAUCAUGAAUUACAUUUGAGUGAGUGGCGAACUGGUGAGUAACACGUGGGAAACCUACCCAGAAGCGGGGGAUAACACCUGGAAACAGAUGCUAAUACCGCAUAACAACUUGGACCGCAUGGUCCGAGUUUGAAAGAUGGCUUCGGCUAUCACUAUUGGAUGGUCCCGCGGCGUAUUAGCUAGAUGGUGAGGUAACGGCUCACCAUGGCAAUGAUACGUAGCCGACAUGAGAGGGUACUCGGCCACAUUGGGACUGAGGCACGGCACAAACUCCUGCGGGAGGCAGCAGUAGGGAAUCUUCCACAAUGGACGAACGUCUGAUGGAGCAACGCCGCGUGAGUGAAGAAGGGUUUCGGCUCGUAAAACUCUGUUGUUAAAGAAGAACAUAUCUGAGAGUAACUGUUCAGGUAUUGACGGUAUUUAACCAGAAAGCCACGGCUAACUACAUGCCAGCAGCCGCAGUAA